Molecule: ribosomal RNA, 328 nt
Filed under: uncultured eukaryote
Lineage: Eukaryota
Description: partial 18S ribosomal RNA
Rfam family: Eukaryotic small subunit ribosomal RNA
Source: RNAcentral
CCCUUAGAUGUCCUGGGCCGCACGCGCGUUACACUGAUGCAUUCAACGAGCUUAUAACCUUGGCCGAGAGGCCUGGGCAAUCUUGUUAACGUGCAUCGUGAUAGGGAUAGAUUAUUGAAAUUAUUAAUCUUGAACGAGGAAUUCCUAGUAAACGCAGAUCAUCAAUCUGUAUUGAUUACGUCCCUGCCCUUUGUACACACCGCCCGUCGCACCUACCGAUUGGAUGGUCCGGUGAAGCCUCGGGAUUGUGGUUCUUGCCGCUUUAUUGUAGCGUGACCGCGAGAACUUGUCUAAACCUUAUCAUCUAGAGGAAGGUGAAGUCGUAACA